UACGUAGGGUGCGAGCGUUAAUCGGAAUUACUGGGCGUAAAGCGCGCGCAGGCGGCUAUCCAAGUCAGUGGUGAAAGCCCGGAGCUCAACUCCGGAACUGCCAUUGAAACUGUUUAGCUUGAGGAUGAGAGAGGUGAGUGGAAUUCCCAGUGUAGAGGUGAAAUUCGUAGAUAUUGGGAAGAACACCAGUGGCGAAGGCGGCUCACUGGUCCGGUACUGACGCUGAGGUGCGAAAGCGUGGGGAGCAAACAGG
RNAcentral lists this ribosomal RNA (253 nucleotides) under uncultured bacterium. RNAcentral's name for it is "partial 16S ribosomal RNA". It matches the Rfam family "Bacterial small subunit ribosomal RNA", at positions 524 to 776 of the family's 1533-position model. The record is from RNAcentral.